Molecule: ribosomal RNA, 500 nt
Filed under: uncultured soil bacterium
Lineage: Bacteria
Description: bacterial SSU rRNA
Rfam family: Bacterial small subunit ribosomal RNA
Source: RNAcentral
AGGAUGAACGCUGGCGGCGUGCUUAACACAUGCAAGUCGAACGAUGAAGCCGGAGCUUGCUCUGGUGGAUUAGUGGCGAACGGGUGAGUAACACGUGAGUAACCUGCCCUUGACUCUGGGAUAAGCACUGGAAACGGUGUCUAAUACCGGAUACGAGCUUUAGCCGCAUGGCUAGGAGCUGGAAAGAAUUUCGGUCAAGGAUGGACUCGCGGCCUAUCAGGUAGUUGGUGAGGUAACGGCCCACCAAGCCUACGACGGGUAGCCGGCCUGAGAGGGUGACCGGCCACACUGGGACUGAGACACGGCCCAGACUCCUACGGGAGGCAGCAGUGGGAAUAUUGCACAAUGGGCGCAAGCCUGAUGCAGCAACGCCGCGUGAGGGACGACGGCCUUCGGUGUAACGUACUUUAGUAGGAAGAAGCGAAAGUAGACGGUACCUGCAGAAAAAGACAACCGCUAACUACGUAGCCACGCAGACCGCGGUAACGUCUGAGCGGCGU